CCUACGGGAGGCUGCAGUGAGGAAUAUUGGUCAAUGGACGGAAGUCUGAACCAGCCAUGCCGCGUGAAGGAUGACUGCCUUAUGGGUUGUAAACUUCUUUUGCAUCAGAGCAAUAAGGCGUACGUGUACGCCGAUGAGAGUAUGUUGCGAAUAAGCAUCGGCUAACUCCGUGCCAGCAGCCGCGGUAAUACGGAGGAUGCGAGCGUUAUCCGGAUUUAUUGGGUUUAAAGGGUGCGUAGGCUGUUUCGUAAGUCAGCGGUGAAAUUCCGGAGCCUAACUCCGGACGUGCCGUUGAUACUGCGAGGCUGGAGUUCCCCUGCCGUGGGAGGAAUGAGUGGUGUAGCGGUGAAAUGCAUAGAUAUCACUCAGAACACCGAUUGCGAAGGCAUCUCACGAAGAGGCAACUGACGCUGAGGCACGAAAGCGUGGGGAUCAAACAGGAUUAGAUACCCCGGUAGUC
This 460-nucleotide ribosomal RNA is filed under the name uncultured Bacteroidales bacterium. RNAcentral's name for it is "bacterial SSU rRNA". It matches the Rfam family "Bacterial small subunit ribosomal RNA", at positions 338 to 795 of the family's 1533-position model. Lineage: Bacteria; Pseudomonadati; Bacteroidota; Bacteroidia; Bacteroidales. The record is from RNAcentral.